AACUAACAAGGAUUCCCCUAGUAACUGCGAGUGAAGCGGGAAAAGCUCAAAUUUAAAAUCUGGCAGUCUUUGGCUGUCCGAGUUGUAAUCUAGAGAAGUAUUAUCCGCGCUGGACCGUGUACAAGUCUCCUGGAAUGGAGCGUCAUAGAGGGUGAGAAUCCCGUCUUUGACACGGACUGCCAGGGCUUUGUGAUGUGCUCUCAAAGAGUCGAGUUGUUUGGGAAUGCAGCUCAAAAUGGGUGGUAAAUUCCAUCUAAAGCUAAAUAUUGGCGAGAGACCGAUAGCGAACAAGUACCGUGAGGGAAAGAUGAAAAGAACUUUGGAAAGAGAGUUAAACAGUACGUGAAAUUGCUGAAAGGGAAACGCUUGAAGUCAGUCGCGUUGGCCAGGGAUCAACCUUGCUUUUUUGCUUGGCUUACUUCCUGGUUAAUGGGUCAGCAUCAAUUUUGACUGGUGGAAAAAGUUCAAGGGAAUGUGGCAUCUUCGGAUGUGUUAUAGCCUUUGCUCGCAUACAUCGGUUGGGAUUGAGGAACUCAGCACGCCGCAAGGCCGGGUUUUUUACCACGUACGUGCUUAGGAUGCUGGCAUAAUGGCUUUAAUCGACCCGUCUUGAAACACGGACCAAGGAGUCUAACAUGCCUGCGAGUGUUUGGGUGGAAAACCCGAGCGCGUAAUGAAAGUGAAAGUUGAGAUCCCUGUCGUGGGGAGCAUCGACGCCCGGAUCAGACCUUUUGUGACGAUCCCGCGGUAGAGCAUGUAUGUUGGGACCCGAAAGAUGGUGAACUAUGCCUGAAUAGGGUGAAGCCAGAGGAAACUCUGGUGGAGGCUCGUAGCGAUUCUGACGUGCAAAUCGAUCGUCAAAUUUGGGUAUAGGGGCGAAAGACUAAUCGAACCAUCU
RNAcentral lists this ribosomal RNA (898 nucleotides) under Laccaria violaceonigra. RNAcentral describes it as "eukaryotic LSU rRNA". It matches the Rfam family "Eukaryotic large subunit ribosomal RNA", at positions 63 to 945 of the family's 3401-position model. Lineage: Eukaryota; Fungi; Basidiomycota; Agaricomycetes; Agaricales; Hydnangiaceae. The record is from RNAcentral.